RNAcentral lists this ribosomal RNA (516 nucleotides) under uncultured bacterium. RNAcentral describes it as "bacterial SSU rRNA". It matches the Rfam family "Bacterial small subunit ribosomal RNA", at positions 774 to 1299 of the family's 1533-position model. The record is from RNAcentral.
AGCUAAUAGAUACCCCGGUAGUCCACGCCGUAAACGAUGAAUGCUAGCUGUUAGAAGUAUCGACCCUUCUAGUAGCGAAAGCUAACGCGUUAAGCAUUCCGCCUGUGGAGUACGGUCGCAAGACUAAAACAUAAAGGAAUUGACGGGGACCCGCACAAGCGGUGGAGCGUGUUCUUUAAUUCGAAGGUAAGCGAAGAACCUUACCAAGGUUUGACAUCCCGGUAGCCGUUUUCCGAAAGGAGAACUUCAUUUAGUUGGACCGGUGACAGGUGUUGCAUGGCCGUCGUCAGCUCGUGUCGUGAGAUGUUUGGUUAAGUCCAUCAACGAGCGCAACCCUUAUAGUUAGUUGGAUUUCUCUAGCUAGACUGCCCCGGUAACGGGGAGGAAGGAGGGGAUGAUGUCAGGUCAGUAUUACCCUUACACCUUGGGCUAGAAACACGCUACAAUGGCCAGUACAAAGGGCAGCCAAGUCGCGAGACGGAGCAAAUCCCAUCAAAGCUGGUCCCAGUUCGGAUA